ACGAACGCUGGCGGCGUGCUUAACACAUGCAAGUCGAACGCUGAAGCUCAGCUUGCUGGGUGGAUGAGUGGCGAACGGGUGAGUAACACGUGAGUAACCUGCCCUCUUCUUUGGGAUAACGCCCGGAAACGGGUGCUAAUACUGGAUAUUCACUGAUUCUCGCAUGGGGGUUGGUGGAAAGGUUUUUUCUGGUGGGGGAUGGGCUCGCGGCCUAUCAGCUUGUUGGUGGGGUGAUGGCCUACCAAGGCUUUGACGGGUAGCCGGCCUGAGAGGGUGACCGGUCACAUUGGGACUGAGAUACGGCCCAGACUCCUACGGGAGGCAGCAGUGGGGAAUAGUGCACAAUGGGCGAAAGCCUGAUGCAGCGACGCCGCGUGAGGGAUGGAGGCCUGCGGGUUGUAAACCUCUUUCGCUCAUGGUCAAGCCGCAGCUUUGGGUUGUGGUGAGGGUAGUGGGUAAAGAAGCGCCGGCUAACUACGUG
Molecule: ribosomal RNA, 481 nt
Filed under: uncultured bacterium
Lineage: Bacteria
Description: partial 16S ribosomal RNA
Rfam family: Bacterial small subunit ribosomal RNA
Source: RNAcentral